GGUUAAGCGACUAAGCGUACACGGUGGAUGCCCUGGCAGUCAGAGGCGAUGAAGGACGUGCUAAUCUGCGAUAAGCGUCGGUAAGGUGAUAUGAACCGUUAUAACCGGCGAUUUCCGAAUGGGGAAACCCAGUGUGAUUCGUCACACUAUCAUUAACUGAAUCCAUAGGUUAAUGAGGCGAACCGGGGGAACUGAAACAUCUAAGUACCCCGAGGAAAAGAAAUCAACCGAGAUUCCCCCAGUAGCGGCGAGCGAACGGGGAGCAGCCCAGAGCCUGAAUCAGUGUGUGUGUUAGUGGAAGCGUCUGGAAAGGCGUGCGAUACAGGGUGACAGCCCCGUACACAAAAAUGCACAUAUUGUGAGCUCGAUGAGUAGGGCGGGACACGUGGUAUCCUGUCUGAAUAUGGGGGGACCAUCCUCCAAGGCUAAAUACUCCUGACUGACCGAUAGUGAACCAGUACCGUGAGGGAAAGGCGAAAAGAACCCCGGCGAGGGGAGUGAAAAAGAACCUGAAACCGUGUACGUACAAGCAGUGGGAGCACGCUUAGGCGUGUGACUGCGUACCUUUUGUAUAAUGGGUCAGCGACUUAUAUUCUGUAGCAAGGUUAACCGAAUAGGGGAGCCGAAGGGAAACCGAGUCUUAACUGGGCGUUAAGUUGCAGGGUAUAGACCCGAAACCCGGUGAUCUAGCCAUGGGCAGGUUGAAGGUUGGGUAACACUAACUGGAGGACCGAACCGACUAAUGUUGAAAAAUUAGCGGAUGACUUGUGGCUGGGGGUGAAAGGCCAAUCAAACCGGGAGAUAGCUGGUUCUCCCCGAAAGCUAUUUAGGUAGCGCCUCGUGAAUUCAUCUCCGGGGGUAGAGCACUGUUUCGGCAAGGGGGUCAUCCCGACUUACCAACCCGAUGCAAACUGCGAAUACCGGAGAAUGUUAUCACGGGAGACACACGGCGGGUGCUAACGUCCGUCGUGAAGAGGGAAACAACCCAGACCGCCAGCUAAGGUCCCAAAGUCAUGGUUAAGUGGGAAACGAUGUGGGAAGGCCCAGACAGCCAGGAUGUUGGCUUAGAAGCAGCCAUCAUUUAAAGAAAGCGUAAUAGCUCACUGGUCGAGUCGGCCUGCGCGGAAGAUGUAACGGGGCUAAACCAUGCACCGAAGCUGCGGCAGCGACGCUGAUGCGUUGUUGGGUAGGGGAGCGUUCUGUAAGCCUGCGAAGGUGUGCUGUGAGGCAUGCUGGAGGUAUCAGAAGUGCGAAUGCUGACAUAAGUAACGAUAAAGCGGGUGAAAAGCCCGCUCGCCGGAAGACCAAGGGUUCCUGUCCAACGUUAAUCGGGGCAGGGUGAGUCGACCCCUAAGGCGAGGCCGAAAGGCGUAGUCGAUGGGAAACAGGUUAAUAUUCCUGUACUUGGUGUUACUGCGAAGGGGGGACGGAGAAGGCUAUGUUGGCCGGGCGACGGUUGUCCCGGUUUAAGCGUGUAGGCUGGUUUUCCAGGCAAAUCCGGAAAAUCAAGGCUGAGGCGUGAUGACGAGGCACUACGGUGCUGAAGCAACAAAUGCCCUGCUUCCAGGAAAAGCCUCUAAGCAUCAGGUAACAUCAAAUCGUACCCCAAACCGACACAGGUGGUCAGGUAGAGAAUACCAAGGCGCUUGAGAGAACUCGGGUGAAGGAACUAGGCAAAAUGGUGCCGUAACUUCGGGAGAAGGCACGCUGAUAUGUAGGUGAAGUCCCUCGCGGAUGGAGCUGAAAUCAGUCGAAGAUACCAGCUGGCUGCAACUGUUUAUUAAAAACACAGCACUGUGCAAACACGAAAGUGGACGUAUACGGUGUGACGCCUGCCCGGUGCCGGAAGGUUAAUUGAUGGGGUCAGCGCAAGCGAAGCUCUUGAUCGAAGCCCCGGUAAACGGCGGCCGUAACUAUAACGGUCCUAAGGUAGCGAAAUUCCUUGUCGGGUAAGUUCCGACCUGCACGAAUGGCGUAAUGAUGGCCAGGCUGUCUCCACCCGAGACUCAGUGAAAUUGAACUCGCUGUGAAGAUGCAGUGUACCCGCGGCAAGACGGAAAGACCCCGUGAACCUUUACUAUAGCUUGACACUGAACAUUGAGCCUUGAUGUGUAGGAUAGGUGGGAGGCUUUGAAGUGUGGACGCCAGUCUGCAUGGAGCCGACCUUGAAAUACCACCCUUUAAUGUUUGAUGUUCUAACGUGGACCCGUAAUCCGGGUUGCGGACAGUGUCUGGUGGGUAGUUUGACUGGGGCGGUCUCCUCCUAAAGAGUAACGGAGGAGCACGAAGGUUGGCUAAUCCUGGUCGGACAUCAGGAGGUUAGUGCAAUGGCAUAAGCCAGCUUGACUGCGAGCGUGACGGCGCGAGCAGGUGCGAAAGCAGGUCAUAGUGAUCCGGUGGUUCUGAAUGGAAGGGCCAUCGCUCAACGGAUAAAAGGUACUCCGGGGAUAACAGGCUGAUACCGCCCAAGAGUUCAUAUCGACGGCGGUGUUUGGCACCUCGAUGUCGGCUCAUCACAUCCUGGGGCUGAAGUAGGUCCCAAGGGUAUGGCUGUUCGCCAUUUAAAGUGGUACGCGAGCUGGGUUUAGAACGUCGUGAGACAGUUCGGUCCCUAUCUGCCGUGGGCGCUGGAGAAUUGAGGGGGGCUGCUCCUAGUACGAGAGGACCGGAGUGGACGCAUCACUGGUGUUCGGGUUGUCAUGCCAAUGGCACUGCCCGGUAGCUAAAUGCGGAAGAGAUAAGUGCUGAAAGCAUCUAAGCACGAAACUUGCCCCGAGAUGAGUUCUCCCUGACUCCUUGAGAGUCCUGAAGGAACGUUGAAGACGACGACGUUGAUAGGCCGGGUGUGUAAGCGCAGCGAUGCGUUGAGCUAACCGGUACUAAUGAACCGUGAGGCUUAACCUU
This 2904-nucleotide ribosomal RNA is filed under the name Escherichia coli. RNAcentral describes it as "23S ribosomal RNA". It matches the Rfam family "Bacterial large subunit ribosomal RNA". Lineage: Bacteria; Pseudomonadati; Pseudomonadota; Gammaproteobacteria; Enterobacterales; Enterobacteriaceae. The record is from RNAcentral.